This 468-nucleotide ribosomal RNA is filed under the name uncultured bacterium. RNAcentral describes it as "partial 16S ribosomal RNA". It matches the Rfam family "Bacterial small subunit ribosomal RNA", at positions 28 to 507 of the family's 1533-position model. The record is from RNAcentral.
GACGAACGCUGGCGGCGUGCUUAACACAUGCAAGUCGAACGGAAAGGCCCUGCUUUUGUGGGGUGCCCGAGUGGCGAACGGGUGAGUAACACGUGAGUAACCUGCCCUUGACUUUGGGAUAACUUCAGGAAACUGGGGCUAAUACCGUAUAGGAGCUCCUGCUGCAUGGUGGGGGUUGGAAAGUUUAGGCGGUUGGGGAUGGACUCGCGGCUUAUCGGCUGGCUGGUGGGGUAGUGGCAUACCAAGGGUUAGACGGGUAGCCGGCCUGAGAAGGUGAACGGCCACCAUGGGACUGAGGGACGCCGCAGACUCCUACAGGGGGCAGCAGGGGCGAAUAUUACACAAUGGGCGGAAGCCGGAUGCAGCAACGCCGGGUGCGUGAUGACGUCCUGCUGGGUGUGAACCGCAUUCGCCUGUUACGAAGCGUGAGUGACGGUAAUGGGUAAAUAAGCACCGGCUAACUACGUG